AUUGAACGCUGGCGGCAGGCCUAACACAUGCAAGUCGAGCGGAGCGGCGGAAGGGUGAGUAAUGCCUAGGGAUCUGCCUGGUAGUGGGGGAUAACGUCCGGAAACGGGCGCUAAUACCGCAUACUAUCAGAGCAGCCUAGGUCGGAUUAGCUAGUUGGUGGGGUAAAGGCUUACCAAGGCGACGAUCCGUAACUGGUCUGGGAGGAUGAUCAGUCACACUGGAACUGAGACACGCUUCAGACUCCUACGGGAUGGAGCAGUGGGGAAUAUUGGACAAUGGGCGAAAGCCUGAUCCAGCCAUGCCGCGUGUGUGAAUAAGGUCUUCGGAUUGUAAAGCACUUUAAGUUGGGAGGCGUUACCAACAGAAUAAGCACCGGCUAACUUCGUGCCAGCAGCCGCGGUAAUUC
RNAcentral lists this ribosomal RNA (407 nucleotides) under uncultured bacterium. RNAcentral's name for it is "partial 16S ribosomal RNA". It matches the Rfam family "Bacterial small subunit ribosomal RNA", at positions 30 to 526 of the family's 1533-position model. The record is from RNAcentral.